UGACAGGUGGCCACAUACUGCUGCAGGUGA
Molecule: non-coding RNA, 30 nt
Filed under: Homo sapiens (human)
Lineage: Eukaryota; Metazoa; Chordata; Mammalia; Primates; Hominidae
Source: RNAcentral